CUCUCUUCUAGUUUCUCGUGCCCAACCACAGCACCCGCAGCUCCCACAUCCUCUGUUGUCUCGCAUCCAUCGAGAUGAGUCUUGCGUCUGUCUUCUCUUCUCUUCUCUUCUCAAAGAACCUCUCCUCUCAAAACUCAAAAGCAAGUAAUCUCUUCUCAAAGAACCUGUCCUCUCAAAACUCAAAAGCAAGUAAUCUUAAGCCAAUUAUCUCUCUAGCUGCUACAGUAGCAGACACAUAUAGAAGGAGAAGAGGAGUAAGUUCCUACCUUCCAUGAUUGCAUACAGAAGCUAUAAGUGCCCCUCUUGAUUUAAGUAACGACUCCCUCGCUUUGCACUAUCCUUUGGCUCUUCUCUUUACGGCCGACUGCUGAUUAAAUCUUUCUCUGCUAUAAGUGCCGACACAGAUUCAAAGUUUGAAGUCUUUCUUUGCUUGUUCAGGUAAAUGGCAUAAGCCAAGAAAUGGGUAUUCAUUUCAAGAGAUAGAGUUUCAGAUGUUCUUCUCCAGUGGAUCUUCUUCUUGAGAUGCUAAGAAUCGAGGGUGAAGCGUCCUUAGCCCGACUUCUUGCCAGCACACUCCUUAGGCCGGGUCUCAGCCGGGUUUACCCGGGUCGACCGGGUUCCAGGUCGAUCCGCCGGGUCGACCGGGUUUCGCCGGGCCAACUCCCAGUCGGGUUUUUACUUAGACCCGGACCGGUCCCAGGCCCGGGUCGGCCGGGUCCCGGGUCAACCCGCCGGGCCGGUCCGGGUUUCAAAACUAUGGGAAUUAGAGUCGCUGAUGAGAGGAAAUGGCGAAAUUAGAACCUAAACAGCGAACAGAGAUGGAACCCAGAGAGAUGCCCGGUUUAUAUUCUGACGAGAAGAAACUCGUUUUUGGUGUGCCAGAGCUAAAAUCAUUCUGAUAUAUAUAUAUAUAUAUAUGUUCAAUUAGGUUGAAGACAAGGAGAAAAAAGCUCAAGUAUGUAGAUUUUGUUCAAGUGGUGCCGAUCUACGUGGUGGUCUGUUUUUCAAGCGUCUACAGAUAUGCCAAGGAAAAUUCUGGUCCACUGAAACCGGGGGUCCGAACUGUCGAGGACACCGUCAGAACUGUCAUCGGACCGGUCCACGACAAGUUCCAUGAUGUCCCCUUCCAGCUUCUCAAAUUCGUCGAUCACAAGAUUGAUGAAUCUUUGAGGGAAUUGGACAGGCAAGUGCCAUCACAAAUUCACAAGUGAAGUGGGUGUCGUGUCAAGCUCGAGCUGUAGCCUGUGAAGUUCAGCGAGCUGGUGUGGUGGACGCGGCGAUGAACGUGUGUGUAUAUAUAUAUAUAUAUAUAUAUAUAUAUAAUGAGGGAUACAUCUUAACCGGUUAAAUCCUGGUUGUGUUGCUUAUAAGUUACCGGUUCGAGUUUUACAAAUUUUAGGAUCAUUUGAGACU
This is a long non-coding RNA of Populus trichocarpa (black cottonwood), 1413 nucleotides long. RefSeq lists it as uncharacterized. Lineage: Eukaryota; Viridiplantae; Streptophyta; Magnoliopsida; Malpighiales; Salicaceae. The transcript is spliced from 3 exons. The record is from RefSeq and is a predicted model, not a curated record.